Molecule: ribosomal RNA, 411 nt
Filed under: uncultured bacterium
Lineage: Bacteria
Description: bacterial SSU rRNA
Rfam family: Bacterial small subunit ribosomal RNA
Source: RNAcentral
GACUGAGUGGCGGACGGGUGAGUAACGCGUGGGUAACCUGCCUGUACAGGGGGACGAACAGUUGGAAACGACUGCUAAUACCGCAUAAGCGCACAGUGUCGCAUGACACAGUGUGAAAAGUUUUUCGGUACAAGAUGGACCCGCGUCUGAUUAGCUAGUUGGUGAGGUAACGGCUCACCAAGGCGACGAUCAGUAGCCGACCUGAGAGGGUGACCGGCCACAUUGGGACUGAGACACGGCCCAAACUCCUACGGGAGGCAGCAGUGGGGAAUAUUGCACAAUGGGCGCAAGCCUGAUGCAGCCGACGCCGCGUGAGCGAAGAAGUAUUUCGGUAUGUAAAGCUCUAUCAGCAGGGAAGAUAAUGACGGUACCUGACUAAGAAGCACCGGCUAAAUACGUGCCAGCCGCCGC